This 797-nucleotide ribosomal RNA is filed under the name Placopsis elixii. Its description in RNAcentral is "SSU rRNA". It matches the Rfam family "Eukaryotic small subunit ribosomal RNA", at positions 65 to 868 of the family's 1831-position model. Lineage: Eukaryota; Fungi; Ascomycota; Lecanoromycetes; Trapeliales; Trapeliaceae. The record is from RNAcentral.
AUAAGCAAUCUAUACCGUGAAACUGCGAAUCCGCUCAUUAAAUCAGUUAUCGUUUAUUUGAUAGUACCUACUUACUUGGAUAACCGUGGUAAUUCUAGAGCUAAUACAUGCUAAAAACCUCGACUUCGGAAGGGGUGUAUUUAUUAGAUAAAAAACCAAUGCCCUCCGGGGCUCCCUGGUGAUUCAUAAUAACUAAACGAAUCGCAUGGCCUUGCGCCGGCGAUGGUUCAUUCAAAUUUCUGCCCUAUCAACUUUCGAUGGUAGGAUAGUGGCCUACCAUGGUGGCAACGGGUAACGGGGAAUUAGGGUUCUAUUCCGGAGAGGGAGCCUGAGAAACGGCUACCACAUCCAAGGAAGGCAGCAGGCGCGCAAAUUACCCAAUCCCGACACGGGGAGGUAGUGACAAUAAAUACUGAUGUGGAGCUCUUUAGGGUUUCACAAUUGGAAUGAGAAAAAUCUAAACCACUUAAACGAGGAACAAUUGGAGGGCAAGUCUGGUGCCAGCAGCCGCGGUAAUUCCAGCUCCAAUAGCGUAUAUUAAAGUUGUUGCAGUUAAAAAGCUCGUAGUUGAACCUUGGGCCUGGCCGGCCGGUCCGCCUCACCGCGUGCACUGGUUCGGCCGGGCCUUUCCUCCUGGGGAACCGCAUGCCCUUCACUGGGUGUGCCGGGGAAUCAGGACUUUUACUUUGAAAAAAUUAGAGUGUUCAAAGCAGGCAUUUGCUCGAAUACAUUAGCAUGGAAUAAUAGAAUAGGACGUUGUGGUUCUAUUUUGUUGGUUUCUAGGACCGCCGUAAUGA